UACGGAGGGGGCGAGCGUUGUCCGAAUUUAUUGGGCGUAAAGCGCGUGUAGGCGGACCGUCAAGCCUGGGGUGAAAGGUUUGGGCUCAACCCGAACAGUGCCCUGGGGACUGGUGGUCUGGAGGGAGGCAGAGGAGUGUGGAAUUCCUGGUGUAGCGGUGGAAUGCGUAGAGAUCAGGAAGAACACCCAUGGCGAAGGCAGCACUCUGGGCCUCACCUGACGCUGAGACGCGAAAGCGCGGGGAGCGAACAGG
RNAcentral lists this ribosomal RNA (253 nucleotides) under uncultured bacterium. Its description in RNAcentral is "partial 16S ribosomal RNA". It matches the Rfam family "Bacterial small subunit ribosomal RNA", at positions 524 to 776 of the family's 1533-position model. The record is from RNAcentral.